GGGCUCCUUCGGGAGCACCGGCGGACUGCUCAGUAACACGUGGACAACCUACCCUCGGGUGGGGGAUAACCUCGGGAAACUGAGGCUAAUACCCCAUAGGCCUCGGAUACUGGAAGGUUCCGAGACCGAAAGCUCCGGCGCCCGAGGAUGGGUCUGCGGCCUAUCAGGUAGUUGGUGGUGUAAAGGACCACCAAGCCUACGACGGGUACGGGCCCUGAGAGGGGGAGCCCGGAGAUGGACUCUGAGACACGAGUCCAGGCCCUACGGGGCGCAGCAGGCGCGAAACCUUCGCAAUGCGCGAAAGCGCGACGAGGGGAGCCCGAGUGCCCUUCCUUUCGGGAGGGCUUUUCUGGAGCCUAAAAAGCUCCAGGAAUAAGGGCUGGGCAAGACGGGUGCCAGCCGCCGCGGUAAUACCCGCAGCUCGAGUGGUGACCACUAUU
RNAcentral lists this ribosomal RNA (440 nucleotides) under uncultured archaeon. RNAcentral describes it as "bacterial SSU rRNA". It matches the Rfam family "Archaeal small subunit ribosomal RNA", at positions 62 to 502 of the family's 1478-position model. The record is from RNAcentral.